Long non-coding RNA from Mastomys coucha (southern multimammate mouse), 638 nucleotides. RefSeq lists it as uncharacterized. NCBI's taxonomy places the organism in Eukaryota, Metazoa, Chordata, Mammalia, Rodentia, Muridae. The transcript is spliced from 3 exons. The record is from RefSeq and is a predicted model, not a curated record.
CUUUGAGAGUGACCACCCAGGCAUGGGCUGUUUAAGAUGAGGACAGGGGUGGGGAAUGGGGUAAGGGGGACACCACAAUACUUCACAAACUUGUUAACUCAGUAGGACAACACAAAACAGAUCAUAAUGACAAAGAAAUCUAGGUCCCAAGCUGACAGAAUCUGUGAUUAUCAACUCUUCAUCCCCAAUGGUCCCCAAAGCAGGAAGGUAAGAGAGCAGGGACAGUGACUGAGCCCUCUGUGGCAGCUUGAAGGAUCUGGAAAAAUCUUUUAAAUUUUUAUGUCCACAGAGGAGCUCCUCUCUAUCUGACCCUUCGACCUUGCUGCCUUGGCUUCUCUAGACCAUCAUUCUAUUCUACUUCAAUGUCUUCUCACCUGAAAACAGUGGGAAUCCUGCACCUCCUAAACAGUGUCCUUUUCUCUUCUGCCUCAAGCCCUGGCAAUCACAGUUCUACUUUCUGAGUGUGGAAAUGUAACUAUGCCAUGAAAAUGAGACCUACCCUGCUCACUAACUUGGGAACUUCAGGACAUUGCAAUCACAUCUCUCAACUUGGAAGUCCACCUGCUGUGCCCAACACACAUGGAUAAAUGUACUUUGCAUUUCAAUUUUUUUAAAAAAAUAAAAUAUAAUUCACCGUA